GGAAAUACUGUGAAGAAGGAAAGUAGUAUAAACAAAGCAUACAGAGAGGAUAUCUAAAGCUGAGAAGAUAUCUAUGAAGAAGUUUAUAUGAAGUGCCCUUCGGAGUUAUGAGCUGAAAAAAUAAAUGCUAAUUUAUUUUAGUAAGUUUCAUCGGGAUCACCCGUUAUAGUGAUAAAGCAUCAUAUGGUGCUUGAAUAAGGUGGGAUAUUAUAUCCAAGUAGAGUGGAACCGCGGAGUUUAACUUCGUCUCUUGA
RNAcentral lists this non-coding RNA (254 nucleotides) under Clostridium sp. Its description in RNAcentral is "T-box sequence". It matches the Rfam family "T-box leader". Rfam says of the family: Uncharged tRNA acts as the effector for transcription antitermination of genes in the T-box leader family. T-boxes are found upstream of many aminoacyl-tRNA synthetase genes and some amino acid biosynthetic genes usually in Gram-positive bacteria. The record is from RNAcentral. Lineage: Bacteria; Bacillati; Bacillota; Clostridia; Eubacteriales; Clostridiaceae.